UACGAAGGGGGCGAGCGUUGUUCGGAUUUACUGGGCGUAAAGGGCGCGCAGGCGGCGCAUUUUGUCAGGCGUGAAAGCCCCGGGCUUAACCUGGGAACUGCGUUUGAUACGGAUGGGCUAGAGUUCGGGAGAGGAGAGUGGAAUUCCCAGUGUAGAGGUGAAAUUCGUAGAUAUUGGGAAGAACACCGGUGGCGAAGGCGGCUCUCUGGACCGAGACUGACACUGAGACACGAAGGCCAGGGGAGCAAACGGG
Molecule: ribosomal RNA, 253 nt
Filed under: uncultured bacterium
Lineage: Bacteria
Description: partial 16S ribosomal RNA
Rfam family: Bacterial small subunit ribosomal RNA
Source: RNAcentral